AUGUCUUCCUCCAGCGCCGUCCAAAGCAAUCUCGGCCAGGUCACGGAGAAGCUCUCCUGGACGAACUACGUCAUGUGGCGAACUCAAGUUACGCCGCAGUUGAGGGGAGCUGGUCUCUUCGGCUACGUCGAUGGAACGAUGCCGGAACCCACCCGCCUCCUCGUCACCAAGGACAAGCACGGCAAGGAGUCGUACGAGCUCAAUCCUCUCCACCCCAUCUGGGUGAGGGAGGAUCAGCAGGUGCUCGGCUACCUCCUCAACAACCUCUCCAAAGAAGUGCUGAUCGCGGUGACCACGGUCACCACCGCGCAUGCCCUCUGGGCGGCGCUUGCAGGCAUGUUUUCUUCUCAAUCCUUGAGUCGUGUCAACAAUAUUCGCACUGCCUUGAACAGAAGGGCACCCAAUCGGUUGCUGCAUACUACGCUCAUAUGCGUGGCCUUGCCGAUGAACUCGCCGCGGCCGGCAAGCCCAUCCAGGACGAUGAGCUCAUCUCCUACCUGCUGCAUGGGCUGGAUAUGGACUACCAACCCCUCGUCUCCGCCCUCGACGCUCGUGUCACGCCGGUCUCCCUCGACGAGUUGUAUUCCAUGCUGA
Molecule: ribosomal RNA, 594 nt
Filed under: Triticum aestivum (bread wheat)
Lineage: Eukaryota; Viridiplantae; Streptophyta; Magnoliopsida; Poales; Poaceae
Description: partial small subunit ribosomal RNA
Source: RNAcentral